Molecule: ribosomal RNA, 424 nt
Filed under: uncultured bacterium
Lineage: Bacteria
Description: bacterial SSU rRNA
Rfam family: Bacterial small subunit ribosomal RNA
Source: RNAcentral
GACGAACGCUGGCGGCGUGCCUAACACAUGCAAGUCGAACGGAACUUAUUGGAUCAAGGCUUCGGCCAAAGUGAAUUUAAGUUUAGUGGCGAACGGGUGAGUAACGCGUGAGCAACCUGCCUUUCAGAGGGGGACAACAGUUGGAAACGACUGCUAAUACCGCAUAAACACAUCGAGGGGGCAUCCUAAUGAUACCAAAGCUUUAUGUGCUGAAAGAUGGUCUCGCGUCUGAUUAGCUAGAUGGCGGGGUAACGGCCCACCAAGGCGACGAUAGCUAUCCGGCCUGAGAGGGUGAACGGACACAUUGGGGACUGAGAUACGGGCCCAGACUCCUACGGGAGGCAGCAGCUAAGAAUAUUCCGCAAUGGGGGAAACCCUGACGGAGCGACGCCGCGUGGAUGAUGAAGGCCGGAAGGUUGUAAAA